ACCUAUAAUAAUCUGACAUAUA
Molecule: microRNA, 22 nt
Filed under: Macaca fascicularis (crab-eating macaque)
Lineage: Eukaryota; Metazoa; Chordata; Mammalia; Primates; Cercopithecidae
Description: novel_miR9-5p
Source: RNAcentral